AGCAGCCGCGGUAAUUCCAGCUCCAAUAGCGUAUAUUAAAGUUGUUGCAGUUAAAAGCUCGUAGUUGAAUUUCGGGAUCAAUAUGUUGGUCGUGCCUUGGUACGUACUGGCGUCAUUGAUUUCUACCUUCUGAAGAACCUCGAUGUCAUUAAUUUGGUGUCUUGGGGAAUCAGGACUGUUACUUUGAAAAAAUUAGAGUGUUUAAAGCAAGCUCACGCUUGAAUACAUUAGCAUGGAAUAAUGAAAUAGGACGUUUUGAUUCUAUUUUGUUGGUUUCUAGGAUCGACGUAAUGAUUAAUAGGGAUAGUUGGGGGCAUUAGUAUUCAAUUGUCAGAGGUGAAAUUCUUGGAUUUAUUGAAGACUAACUACUGCGAAAGCAUUUGCCAAGGAUGUUUUCAUUAAUCAAGAACGAAAGUUAGGGGAUCGAAGACGAUCAGAUACCGUCGUAGUCUUAACCAUAAACUAUGCCGACUAGGGAUCGGACGAUGUUAAUUUUUAAUGACUCAUUCGGCGUA
RNAcentral lists this unclassified non-coding RNA (515 nucleotides) under uncultured Diversispora. RNAcentral describes it as "SSU rRNA". It matches the Rfam family "Eukaryotic small subunit ribosomal RNA", at positions 569 to 1087 of the family's 1831-position model. Lineage: Eukaryota; Fungi; Glomeromycota; Glomeromycetes; Diversisporales; Diversisporaceae. The record is from RNAcentral.